CCUACGGGUGGCAGCAGUGGGGGAUAUUGCACAAUGGGGGGAACCCUGAUGCAGCGACGCCGCGUGGGUGAAGAAGCGCCUCGGCGCGUAAAGCCCUGUCAGCAGGGAAGAAAAUGACGGUACCUGUAGACGAAGCACCGGCUAACUACGUGCCAGCAGCCGCGGUAAUACGCAGGGGGCAAGCGUUAUCCGGAUUUACUGGGUGUAAAGGGGGCGCAGGCGGCUGUGCAAGUCAGGAGUGAAAGCCCGGGGCUCAACCCCGGGACUGCUCUUGGUACUGCGUGGCUGGCGUGCAGGCGCGGCAGGCGGAAUGCCUGGUGUAGCGGUGAAAUGCGUAGAUAUCAGGCGGAACACCGAUGGCGAAGGCGGCCUGCUGGACUGCAACUGACGUUGAGGCCCGAAAGCGUGGGGAGCAAACAGGAUUAGAUACCCGAGUAGUC
This 440-nucleotide ribosomal RNA is filed under the name uncultured bacterium. RNAcentral's name for it is "partial 16S ribosomal RNA". It matches the Rfam family "Bacterial small subunit ribosomal RNA", at positions 338 to 795 of the family's 1533-position model. The record is from RNAcentral.